Fundulus heteroclitus (mummichog) is the source of this 1661-nucleotide long non-coding RNA. RefSeq lists it as uncharacterized. The record is from RefSeq and is a predicted model, not a curated record. Lineage: Eukaryota; Metazoa; Chordata; Actinopteri; Cyprinodontiformes; Fundulidae. The transcript has 3 exons.
AAGGACAAGGAGGAAGAGGAGGAAGGGGAGGAAGAGGAAUCAACAGAGGAGGAAUCAACGGAAGAGGAAGAGAUGGAGGCCAUGCUGGAGGUAGAGGAAGACAAAGAGGAAGACAAGAACGUGCUCAAAGAGGACCGAAUCUGAUAAAUGAGAUCCGCGCAACACUGGUUGACCACGUUGUCAACCACGGCCUGACGCUGAGGGAGGCUGGACUGAUUGAGGGUCAGGAACGACGAGGGGGAAGGCCUCCUAUGUUCACAGAACAGCAAGAGAGGAAGAUAGUAAACAUGGUUUUGGCCAACAAUGCUAUAACCCUCAAUCAGCUCCAAGCUAACAUUGUCAAUAACCACGUCGGUUUCAACAAUAUCCAUCAGGUCUCAACAUCAACACUGGCACGCAUCCUAAUAAAAAACAUAUUCAAAUGAAGAAAAUUUAUUGAGUGCCUUUCGAGCGCAAUUCCGAAAGGGUGAAACGACUGCGGCAUGAUUAUGCAGAGAGAGUUUUACAAAUGGAUGGAGAGGAGAUCCAGCAUGAGUUCAUUUACGUAGAUGAGGCUGGGUUCAACCUGACGAGAACACGAAGGAGGGGAAGAAACAUCAUUGGCCACAGGGCUACAGUCAAUGUCCCAGGGCAACGUGGGGGUAAUAUAACACUCUGUGCAGCCAUUACACAGAAUGGGGUCCUCCACCGCCAUGCUCAUAUGGCCCUUACAACACAGCACUCAUACUUACAUUCUUGGACCAAUUGCACAACAUAACAGCAGCAAAUCAAAUCGAUCAUAUGCAAUACAUUGUUGUCUGGGACAAUGUCUCUUUCCACCGCUCUGCUCUGGUUCAGAACUGGUUUCAGCAACAUCUGCAUUUCACCGUCCUAUAUCUUCCACCAUACUCUCCAUUUCUCAACCCUAUAGAAGAGUUUUUCUCGGCAUGGCGGUGGAAGGUAUAUGAUCUCCGUCUCCAGGCUGAGGUACCCCUCAUCCAUGCCAUGAAGGAGGCCUGUGACCAGAUGGAGGUAGCAGCAAUGCAAGGAUGGAUUCGUCAUUCAAGACGUUUCUUUCCAAGGUGUCUUGCUAAUGACAACAUUGCCUGCGAUGUUGAUGAAAUUCUCUGGCCAGAUCCAGCUAGGCGAAGAGAAAAUGUCUAGUUUUUGUUUUGUUUUGUUUUGUUUUUUACAGUACAAUACGUAAAGUGACAUUUUGUUACAGUAUUAUGAAUCUCCAUGUCAACAUUUUGGGCGUGUUGAGAAAUAAACGAGUUUCUUCAGUCUGCAACAUUGGUCUUGUGUAGUGUUUGGUGAAUUUAUAUUAUAUUUGUACUUUGUUAAUGGUAGCCAACUCUAAUCAUAGGGAAGUAGAAGUGCUAAAAGUGUUUUAGGUUUAUCACAGCAGAGUGUAACUCAUGCAAACAGAGUAUAGUAAUGUGAAACGUGUGUUUCAUAUGGUAACAAAGUGUGGUUUUUAAACAGAAGUGUAUAGUUUUUACAAGAGUGUUUAAUUAUGCAAAGGAGUGUUUUGCUAAUUGGGUGUGUGGUUGUGCUAAUUGUGUGUAGUGUUUUGAAAACACGGGCCCUGUUUUGACAAUCGUGCUUAAGCAAACCAAAAAAACUGUAAUAACAUAGAAAUGUGUUAUUUUUUAUUCAGGCACAUUGAACAACCCCGGCUA